RNAcentral lists this ribosomal RNA (253 nucleotides) under uncultured bacterium. Its description in RNAcentral is "partial 16S ribosomal RNA". It matches the Rfam family "Bacterial small subunit ribosomal RNA", at positions 524 to 776 of the family's 1533-position model. The record is from RNAcentral.
UACGUAGGGUGCGAGCGUUGUCCGGAAUUAUUGGGCGUAAAGAGCUCGUAGGCGGCCUGUCGCGUCGGUUGUGAAAGCCCGAGGCUUAACCCCGGGUCUGCAGUCGAUACGGGCAGGCUAGAGUUCGGUAGGGGAGAUCGGAAUUCCUGGUGUAGCGGUGAAAUGCGCAGAUAUCAGGAGGAACACCGGUGGCGAAGGCGGAUCUCUGGGCCGAUACUGACGCUGAGGAGCGAAAGCGUGGGGAGCGAACAGG